CGCAAGUUUCAACAAUCUUCAGUGACAAGGAGACCUUGCAAGUGAGCUCUCUGAAUGUGAUUGCAGAGCAGGUACUGUGGACAGAGGAACCAGGACCAUUCCUCCGGGACAGUUGUCAUUCACGGAGCUACGGAAGAUGUAACCUGCAGAAAAAAACCACAAAAAAACAAAGAACCACAGCCCAACAAUUAAUGUGGUUAGGUGCUGAGGCUGUUUCUAGAGCUGG
Leptonychotes weddellii (Weddell seal) is the source of this 226-nucleotide non-coding RNA. Lineage: Eukaryota; Metazoa; Chordata; Mammalia; Carnivora; Phocidae. The record is from RefSeq and is a predicted model, not a curated record.